RNAcentral lists this ribosomal RNA (503 nucleotides) under uncultured bacterium. Its description in RNAcentral is "partial 16S ribosomal RNA". It matches the Rfam family "Bacterial small subunit ribosomal RNA", at positions 28 to 523 of the family's 1533-position model. The record is from RNAcentral.
GAUGAACGCUAGCUACAGGCUUAACACAUGCAAGUCGAGCGGGGUGAUGGUGCUUGCACUAUCACUUAGCGGAGGACGGGUGAGUAAUGCUUAGGAAUCUGCCUAGUAGUGGGGGACAACAUCUCGAAAGGGAUGCUAAUACCGCAUACGUCCUACGGGAGAAAGCAGGGCAUCACUGGUGACAUUGCGCUAAUAGAUGAGCCUAAGUCGGAUUAGCUAGUUGGUGGGGUAAAGGCCUACCAAGGCGACGAUCUGUAGCGGGUCUGAGAGGAUGAUCCGCCACACUGGGACUGAGACACGGCCCAGACUCCUACGGGAGGCAGCAGUGGGGAAUAUUGGACAAUGGGGGGAACCCUGAUCCAGCCAUGCCGCGUGUGUGAAGAAGGCCUUAUGGUUGUAAAGCACUUUAAGCGAGGAGGAGGCUCUUUUGGUUAAUACCCAAGAUGAGUGGACGUUACUCGCAGAAUAAGCACCGGCUAACUCUGUGCCAGCCGCCGCUGUAA